GGGUGUCGAAGCAAACGCGAUAAGUAGGCCGCCUGGGGAGUACGGCCGCAAGGUUAAAACUCAAAGGAAUUGACGGGGACCCGCACAAGCGGUGGAUGAUGUGGAUUAAUUCGAUGCAACGCGAAAAACCUUACCUACCCUUGACAUGUCCGGAACCCUGGUGAGAGCUGGGGGUGCCCGAAAGGGAGCCGGAACACAGGUGCUGCAUGGCUGUCGUCAGCUCGUGUCGUGAGAUGUUGGGUUAAGUCCCGCAACGAGCGCAACCCUUGCCGCUAAUUGCCAUCAUUCAGUUGGGCACUUUAGUGGGACUGCCGGCGACAAACCGGAGGAAGGUGGGGAUGACGUCAAGUCCCCAUGGCCCUUAUGGGUAGGGCUUCACACGUCAUACAAUGGCGCAUACAGAGGGCUGCGAAGGGGCGACCCGGAGCCAAUCCCAGAAAGUGCGUCGUAGUCCGGAUUGCAGUCUGCAACUCGACUGCAUGAAGUCGGAAUCGCUAGUAAUCGCGGAUCAGCAUGUCGCGGUGAAUACGUUCCCGGGUCUUGUACACACCGCCCGUCACACCAUGGGAGUGGGGUUCACCAGAAGGCGUUAGCCUAACNNNNNNGAGGGCGACGACCACGGUGAGCUUCAUGACGGGGGUGAAGUCGUAACAAGGUAGCCGUAUCGGAAGGUGCGGCUGGAUCACCUCCUU
RNAcentral lists this ribosomal RNA (692 nucleotides) under uncultured bacterium. RNAcentral describes it as "bacterial SSU rRNA". It matches the Rfam family "Bacterial small subunit ribosomal RNA", at positions 841 to 1532 of the family's 1533-position model. The record is from RNAcentral.